GGAGAGAUAGCACGUAACUGGUAGCGUCGCCGGCUGUAACCCGGUUGUCCUAACGGAUCUUGGAGGUUCGAGUCCUUCUCUCUCCACCA
Molecule: transfer RNA, 89 nt
Filed under: Gammaproteobacteria bacterium HGW-Gammaproteobacteria-1
Lineage: Bacteria; Pseudomonadati; Pseudomonadota; Gammaproteobacteria
Description: tRNA-Tyr
Rfam family: tRNA
About the family: Transfer RNA (tRNA) molecules are approximately 80 nucleotides in length. Their secondary structure includes four short double-helical elements and three loops (D, anti-codon, and T loops). Further hydrogen bonds mediate the characteristic L-shaped molecular structure. tRNAs have two regions of fundamental functional importance: the anti-codon, which is responsible for specific mRNA codon recognition, and the 3' end, to which the tRNAs corresponding amino acid is attached (by aminoacyl-tRNA synthetases). tRNAs cope with the degeneracy of the genetic code in two manners: having more than one tRNA (with a specific anti-codon) for a particular amino acid; and 'wobble' base-pairing, i.e. permitting non-standard base-pairing at the 3rd anti-codon position.
Source: RNAcentral